This 492-nucleotide ribosomal RNA is filed under the name uncultured bacterium. Its description in RNAcentral is "partial 16S ribosomal RNA". It matches the Rfam family "Bacterial small subunit ribosomal RNA", at positions 29 to 507 of the family's 1533-position model. The record is from RNAcentral.
AGUGAACGCUGGCGGUAGGCCUAACACAUGCAAGUCGAACGGCAGCACAGUAAGAGCUUGCUCUUACGGGUGGCGAGUGGCGGACGGGUGAGGAAUACAUCGGAAUCUACUUUUUCGUGGGGGAUAACGUAGGGAAACUUACGCUAAUACCGCAUACGACCUACGGGUGAAAGCAGGGGAUCUUCGGACCUUGCGCGAUUGAAUGAGCCGAUGUCGGAUUAGCUAGUUGGCGGGGUAAAGGCCCACCAAGGCGACGAUCCGUAGCUGGUCUGAGAGGAUGAUGAGCCACACUGGAACUGGCACACGGUCCAGGCUCCUACGGGAGGCAGCAGUGGGGAAUAUUGGACAAUGGGCGCAAGCCUGAUCCAGCCAUACCGCGUGGGUGAAGAAGGCCUUCGGGUUGGAAAGCCCUUUUGUUGGGAAAGAAAAGCAGCAGGUUAAUACCCCGCUGUUCUGACGGUACCCAAAGAAUAAGCACCGGCUAACUUCGUG